UCAUUAAGGGUACAACUGGUAUAU
Molecule: non-coding RNA, 24 nt
Filed under: Arabidopsis thaliana (thale cress)
Lineage: Eukaryota; Viridiplantae; Streptophyta; Magnoliopsida; Brassicales; Brassicaceae
Source: RNAcentral